RNAcentral lists this ribosomal RNA (3147 nucleotides) under Triticum aestivum (bread wheat). Its description in RNAcentral is "partial small subunit ribosomal RNA". The record is from RNAcentral. Lineage: Eukaryota; Viridiplantae; Streptophyta; Magnoliopsida; Poales; Poaceae.
AUGGGAAGACUACGGAAAGCCUGUCCCAAGGAUGUCCCGCUUGUUUCUUCAGUUGAGAGUGUUGAUUCUUCAAAAGAACCUUUUGUGCCUAAUGAUUUUGCUGAUGAUAAUGCUAUGUAUUUGGAUUCUUCUGGUGAUGAUGAAGAGCUUGGCAAAGCACUUUACAAUUUCUAUGUGAAAAAUAAAGUCAAGCACCUGAAGAGGAAAUUGUCUUCUAUUAGUAGAAUGAAUGUUAGGCAGAAACGAUCUUCUGAUUUCCCUGUUUGUUCGACGUUCACUCGAUACUCUGGAAAGUUCUUCUCGGGAGUUGUUGAUGGCAUGUGUUCUAGGUACAAGGAUGUUAUUCAGACGUAUGGCAUGGGCUAUCUCCUUAAUUUUGUCCGGACCGAGGUUCCUCUUAGGCUAGUUAAGUGGCUUGCAUCUAGGUUCGACGUUCCUGCUUCCGAGUUUCAGUUGAAAAGGAAAUUCAUACCCUUAACUAAGUAUGAUAUCCAUGACAUCCUUGACCUCCCAGUAGAUGGUGAGCCACUUGUUUCAGAUCCUGAGGCUGGUCGUGAUUUUAUCCUCUCUCAUUUCAAUCUUACCAGUAUCCCACCAGUGUCCUUUUUUGCCAACAAGCUUAAAUCUGUAGAAGUUGAUUUUCUUGAUGAGGACGUCUUCAUUUGUUUCAUGAUUGUGGCUUUCUCUACUUUCCUUUGUCCCAACUCUAGCAUCAGUCCUAGUCCAAAGUACCUCCACAUCUUUCAGGAUUGUCAGUCUGUGCGUUCCUAUGAUCUUUCUAGUUUUGUUUACGAGUGGCUUUUGUGUAGCAUCAAAAAAUUCAAGGAUGCUACUAAAGUUGCCUCCAAAAGAUCAAUGACCUUCGGUGGAUGCCAUUAUGCAUUUACUGUAGCUUACCUUGAUCAUUUGAACUUUGGGCUUCAGUAUGUACCUGAUGUGAAACCUCGCAGUAAGAGUUUUGAUUUUGGCCCUUCUGAUGGUUCUUUUGCAAUGAAAGUUCAAAGAACUAUUUGCCCUCACUUUGGAUCUCAGAUUGCUCUUGAAGUCAUUGAGCUUGUUCAGACUAGAAACCAAGAUAAACCUAAGAUAUUCAUUGAUUGGGCAGAGUCUCUUGUUUUAAAUGUUCUGGAAUGUGUGUUGAAUUCAUCUAUGCCCAAAGUGUCUGGAAGCGAGCAUCAGUCUAUGAGCAAAUUCUCUUUUGGUAACAAGUCUGUCUCAUUUCAUUCUGCUAUCGCCAAUGGUGUCUUUGCUAAAUCUGAUGGUAUUCCAGAGGUUGCUAUAUCUGAUGCUAUUCCGGAGGUUGCUAAAUCUGAUGUUGCCCCAGAGGUUCCUACGUCUGAUGGUAUUCCAGAGGUUGCUACAUCUGAUGGUAUUCCAGAGGUUGUUGUACAGCAAGAGAGUCGUCAUGCGGUCACUCCAGAUGUCGUUACUCCCAUUGUACCUCCUGCUGUUAUCUUUGGUGGUUUACAUAAUCCAGUUGUUCUAUCUAGCUCUUCAACACCUGCUAAAGUGCGUAAUGAGGCUGUUGCAAAAGAAGGUCCUGUUCCAGUAUGCGCCUUGUUUUCUGAAGUUAAAACAAAAGAUUCAAUUGUUGCAGUUCCUGCCAAAUGUAUUUCUCCUUCAAAGUCUAAAUGUGAUAUCACUGAUGUCGAUUCUUUCGUGUUGCUUUCAGAUGGCCCUGCUAAGGAUUGUAAUGAGGAAGAUGUUGUUAAUGCUUUUGGGAUUCCUUCCUUUGCCGAGCUUAAUCGUGCUCUUGGUAUUCAGUCACCUUCUAAUGUCUGCAAUUACACCCCAGUUCACGCUCAUGGAAAAUCUCCUAUGGAAGAUACAAAUUCUUUUAGAGACCUGUCACCCCUUGUUCCAAUUCGCUUGUCGCAGUAUUUCCGUAAUGAGUUGGGUGAUGUCCAGUGUUCUCAGUAUGUUGCCGACAGAUAUCUGAAGUCGUUUAAUUCACCUAAUGACGAGGAUUGUAUUGUUAUGGUUAAUGUCGAUCACUCUGAUUAUUCAAAGCCAACCAAUCAUGUGAACUUAUGUUCUCCUGAUGUAAUCUUGCAAACUACUCCAAAAGCUGUUGUGAAGCUCAAUGAGGCAGUAGUUGAUGUCCAUAAAAUUGGUAGCUCAAACUUUGCAGCUAGGUGUCAAGAGCUAUCUAGAUCAAAUGAUGUUACUUACAACAAGCUGCACAGUUUUACUGCCCCUGCAACAAGUUAUCGUAAUCCUGUAAAGGUUGCUAAUAGCCCGGAAUUAGAGAUCCUGUCAGACACGCCUAUUGUUUCUAGUGCUCAUCUUUCUAAGGUUCCUGCAUGUUCAAAAGGUGCUCCAUCAUUUCAGCCCCUUGGUGGUUCUACAACUAGGUCUUCUGCAGCUCAUGUCCCUCGUAGAAUUGUUGUCCCUGGUAGAUUCAACUCAGAUCCUUAUGUUCCUCAAGGGAAUCGUUAUUCAGUUACUGCUCAAGAAAGGCGUAAUCAUCUUGCAAUGGUUCAGAUUGCAAGUCAUCCAGAGUGGUGCAAGUACGAGGCUAUCCGAUAUGAAAGAGCUUACUGUAGUUAUAGUAACCUUUCUUCACUACAGUUCAAAUCUCGCGUAGACAAUUUCUUGAUCUUGUGUGUGUGUCGAUAUCUAUUCAAUGAAGCUCACCCUUCCGUUUCUAAGAAACAUUUCUUCUUCUCUUACAUUGGUGAAACAAUUCUGGAUGGUACUAAUGCUGAGAUUGUUGGUAAUGCUUUCAAUGGUGCUAAUAGCGCUUUUCCUAUGUGGAGAAGCAACAUGGAGAAACUGUUUGUCUUCCUCGAUUCAUUAUAUGGCGAGUUCUCCGAUUUCCACCUAGCCAUUCGUGAUCCGAUUGUUAACAACUUCAUCAAUCUAUGGGACACAUAUGUGACUCCUAUAUUGAGGAAGCGUAUUGACUUUCAAAAUUUCGACAUUGUGUAUCCUGCGGUCCCGCAGCAAAAUAACACGUAUGAUUGUGGUGUUUUCUCUGUUAUGUACAUGAAGCACUGGUCUCCUAGGACUCCAAUUGGCAAUCUUUUUACGCAAGCUGAUAUAGAUAACAUCAGGAUCAAGCUCGCAAAUGAACUUUAUUUCAGCCAUUUCAACACUACUGACAAGUCUCUUGUCACAAACUUCUUUGGUGACGUGCAGAACUAG